CAGCCGCCGCGGUAAAACGGAGGGCGCGAGCGUUACCCGGAUUUACUGGGCGUAAAGCGUGCGCAGGCGGUUAUAUAAGACAGUUGUGAAAUCCCCGGGCUCAACCUGGGAACUGCAUCUGUGACUGUAUAGCUAGAGUACGGUAGAGGGGGAUGGAAUUCAGCGUGUAGCAGUGAAAUGCGUAGAUAUGCGGAGGAACACCGAUGGCGAAGGCAAUCCCCUGGACCUGUACUGACGCUCAUGCACGAAAGCGUGGGGAGCAAACAGGAUUAGAUACCCCCGUAGUCCCUGUCUCUUAUAC
RNAcentral lists this ribosomal RNA (301 nucleotides) under uncultured bacterium. RNAcentral describes it as "partial 16S ribosomal RNA". It matches the Rfam family "Bacterial small subunit ribosomal RNA", at positions 509 to 807 of the family's 1533-position model. The record is from RNAcentral.